RNAcentral lists this ribosomal RNA (253 nucleotides) under uncultured bacterium. Its description in RNAcentral is "partial 16S ribosomal RNA". It matches the Rfam family "Bacterial small subunit ribosomal RNA", at positions 524 to 776 of the family's 1533-position model. The record is from RNAcentral.
UACGUAGGGGGCAAGCGUUAUCCGGAUUUACUGGGUGUAAAGGGAGCGUAGGCGGUGCAGAAAGUCAGAAGUGAAAGCCCGGGGCUCAACUCCGGGACUGCUUUUGAAACUGUUGAACUAGAUUGCAGGAGAGGUAAGUGGAAUUCCUAGUGUAGCGGUGAAAUGCGUAGAUAUUAGGAGGAACACCAGUGGCGAAGGCGGCUUACUGGACUGUAAAUGACGCUGAGGCUCGAAAGCGUGGGGAGCAAAUAGG